This is a long non-coding RNA of Sarcophilus harrisii (Tasmanian devil), 1240 nucleotides long. RefSeq lists it as uncharacterized. The record is from RefSeq and is a predicted model, not a curated record. NCBI's taxonomy places the organism in Eukaryota, Metazoa, Chordata, Mammalia, Dasyuromorphia, Dasyuridae. The transcript is spliced from 4 exons.
UGUCUCUUUGAAGGUGGGGGGCACAACAAGGUUUCCUUGUCCACUCCAGCCUUCUCCCAGUAAGAUCAUGAAAUCACCUAUUGGGAGAGGUGGUGAAUGAAUUCUCAUCCCAGGUGCCCUGGUUAAUGCCUAAGGAAAGUGGAUUACAAGGGGUUCCCAGUCUUCACUGGAAAGAUCAUAUUAACUAUAUCUUUCAUUCACUUGAGUAUGAAAAUCUGAACUGCUAUAUAAGAUCAUCAGUGAAAGCUUGCUACGUGUUUGUAUGUGUGUAUAGUGUGCUUUUUAGAUAGCUGCAAGGUCUGAUGGAGAUUGAUUUGCACAGCUUUGCCGCUAAAUCACCCAUUCUACCACCUAUGGUGCAGAGUCCCUCACCGCAUCAUUAAUCUCAACUACUGUACUGUACAGGAACUGGACUCCUAGAAACAGGUCGUCUGCCAAAGGAGAUGGCCUUAGGCUAACACAUAGGAUGUUUCUACCUAGUCAACCAAGCUGUUUACUUGAGGAAAAAACAACAACUCCCUCCUCCCAUACCUCCCACAGGCAGGCUCAUGAUCUAGCUGGGGAAAGAGGACAUACGCAUAAAAGGUAAAUAACAUAGAAGAAAUCAUGUCUUCCUAUUUCAAUGCUCAAGGGAUUCUUGCCAUCACUGAAAAUAGCAAAUAUGUUUGACAAGGAAAAGGAGGAAAAGGCUUCUUAACUGAACAGAGAUCUGCUUGUUUUAUAUCAGCUUCUCCUGCAAAGUUUCCUUGACUGAAACAACCUGCAGGCAAAAUGUUUUGCCAAUCGGCCCUCAAAACCCAUAUGCUGGCUCCAGAGCACAGGUGUUCCCUCCAAGUAUUUGCCAAGUCACCAGUCAGAAUGGACAGAUUUUCUUUUCAAAAGGAAGAGGGCUGCCAAAGUCAAACAGUGAACUGUCUGGAUUAUUCAAGAAAGAGCCAAAUUACUUAUUAUUCAAAAAUGUCCUUUGGGAUUCCAAUGACAAAGUUCAACCAAGCUCAACUUUUAUUAUAUUUUUUGCAUGAUGACAUUUUUGUUUGGUCCUGAAACUAGUUUAGAGGACCACAUUCCUCUCCAUACAUUCACAUUGAUUGCAAUUACAAAAGUGCAUAAUAGAGAAUUACUGUGGUAUAGCAGCUAAAAUUCUGACCUUGGAAUCAGAGAGUUCUGGGUUCAAGUCCUACUUUUUGACAUAACCUGACUGUAUGUCAGCUAUGGUAUGUUAUUCCAUUUUUAAGUGUUC